ACGAGAAGUCUAAGGCGCUCGGGAGAACGGUGGUUAAGGAACUCUGCAAAAUGGCCCCGUAAGUUCGCGAUAAGGGGUGCCUCCGGUGGUUCACGCUGCUGGAGGCCACAGUAAAUCGGCUCCUGCGACUGUUUAUCAAAAACACAGGUCUCUGCUAACACGUACGCGGAUGUAUAGAGACUGACGCCUGCCCGGUGCCGGUAGGUUAAGGAAGACGGUUAUCCUCUUCGGAGGAGAAGCUGGCGACCGAAGCCCCGGUAAACGGCGGCCGUAACUAUGACGGUCCUAAGGUUGACGCACGUCACGCUCAUGACGCAGCCUUAAUAAAACUUGGCCAUAUGCUGGAAAGUCUGAGUAUCCCGCACUACUCGUGAAUUCGUAACGGAUUCGCAGUGAAAAUGUGACGGGUGCAGAUAAUCAGCAGGAAACCAAAGUUGAAUCUUUUCAACGAGUAGGAUCCUCAGAGACUAUACGCCAGGCACCCACUCCUUGGUUAUCGAGGGGCGAGUGAAGAUAUAGUCCGAGCUGCAUGGCGACAUGCAGAGGCUGACAGAAAUGAUCAGCCCACGCAUUGAGCAUCUCUUGGUCGAGUCCCAAAGACGAACCCAAGGCUUCUCUUGUAAGUUUGCUCGGCAAGCUUUUUGCUGAACACAUUUACUGCGUAGUAACAAAACUGAGCGAAGUUCCUUGUCGGGUAAGUUCCGACCUGCAUGAAAGGCGUAACGACUGAUGCACUGUCUCAACCAGUGACCCGGUGAAAUUGUAGCCGUGGUGAAGAUGCCACGUACCCGCAGUAUGACGGAAAGACCCCGUGAACCUUUACUGUAGGCUGAUAUUGGGCUGAGGUAUGUUUUGUGUAGGAUAGGUGGGAGGCUUUGAUGUGAGGGCGCCAGCCCUUGCGGAGCCAACCUUGAAAUACCACCCUGGAUAUGCUUUAGUUCUAACGUUGAUCCCGUGAAUCCGGGCAACGGACAGUGUCAGUUGGGCAGUUUGACUGGGGCGGUCUCCUCCCAAAGAGUAACGGAGGAGUACAAAGGUACCCUCAGCCUGGUUGGCAAUCAGGCGUAGAGCGCAAAGGUAGAAGGGUGCUUGACUGCGAGACAUAUAGGUCGAGCAGAGACGAAAGUCGGGCUUAGUGAUCCGGCGGUUCCGAAUGGAAGGGCCGUCGCUCAACAGAUAAAAGGUACUCUGGGGAUAACAGGCUGAUCACUUCCGAGCGUCCAUAGCGGCGAAGUGGUUUGGCACCUCGAUGUCGGCUCAUCACAUCCUGGGGGUGAAGAAGCUCCCAAGGGUUCGGCUGUUCGCCGAUGAAAGUGGUACGUGAGCUGGGUUCAGACCGUCGUGAGACAGGUCGGUCCCUAUCUGCCGUGGGCGUUCGAAACUUGAGCGGGUUCUUCUUUAGUACGAGAGGAUUUGGAAGGACGAACCUCUGGUGUCCCAGUUGUCGCGCUAGCGGCACGGCUGGAUAGCUAAGUUCGGACAGGAUAAACGCUGAAAGCAUCUAAGCGUGAAGCCCUCCGCAAGAUCAGGUUUCGUAAGUGCUAGACACGAAAGCCCCCUGGAAGACGACCAGGUCGAUAGGCUGGAUGUGUAAGCUCAGUAAUGGGUUAAGCUCACCAGUACUAACGGGCGAAGGCUUGGCCAC
This 1645-nucleotide ribosomal RNA is filed under the name marine metagenome. RNAcentral describes it as "bacterial LSU rRNA". It matches the Rfam family "Bacterial large subunit ribosomal RNA", at positions 1672 to 2925 of the family's 2925-position model. The record is from RNAcentral.